CCUCCUGGGGACCAGCGACCCGGGGAGCGAGCACGUCGCUCCGCACCGCUCUUCCUCCAGCCGCUGAGCCGUCCCUUCUCGCCAUGUCCCAGAGCAGGCACCGCGCCGAGGCCCCGCCGCUGGAGCGCGAGGACAGUGGGACCUUCAGUUUGGGGAAGAUGAUAACAGCUAAGCCAGGGAAAACACCGAUUCAGGUAUUACACGAAUACGGCAUGAAGACCAAGAACAUCCCAGUUUAUGAAUGUGAAAGAUCUGAUGUGCAAAUACACGUGCCCACUUUCACCUUCAGAGUAACCGUUGGUGACAUAACCUGCACAGGUGAAGGUACAAGUAAGAAGCUGGCGAAACAUAGAGCUGCAGAGGCUGCCAUAAACAUUUUGAAAGCCAAUGCAAGUAUUUGGUGAGCUAAAUUUCUUUGUAUUCAGCAGCUCAAAAAUAUCAUGGCUGAGGUAAGAUUAAAAAUUUGAACAUGCUUACAAAAGCAACAAAGUGAACAGUUGUUAGCAUCCUACCUCUCAAAUUCUAUUUCCUUAUGAAAAUUUAUCAUCCAUUAAAGAAAACUUUAUCCAAUCAAAUCCAGCAAUU
This 585-nucleotide small RNA is filed under the name Pongo abelii (Sumatran orangutan). RNAcentral's name for it is "retained intron". Lineage: Eukaryota; Metazoa; Chordata; Mammalia; Primates; Hominidae. The record is from RNAcentral.